UGUACAGCUAGUCGAGUUUUCAAUUGUUGCGUUCUCUCAUUUUUCUUUCUUGAAAAGACGCCGGUGGGCUUUGGUUGCCAGGUGCCCGUCAAAUUUCGUAUAU
Non-coding RNA from Caenorhabditis elegans, 103 nucleotides. NCBI's taxonomy places the organism in Eukaryota, Metazoa, Nematoda, Chromadorea, Rhabditida, Rhabditidae. The record is from Ensembl.